UGAACCAGUUAAUCUGCAUUCUUCACAAUC
Molecule: non-coding RNA, 30 nt
Filed under: Mus musculus (house mouse)
Lineage: Eukaryota; Metazoa; Chordata; Mammalia; Rodentia; Muridae
Source: RNAcentral